RNAcentral lists this ribosomal RNA (427 nucleotides) under uncultured bacterium. Its description in RNAcentral is "bacterial SSU rRNA". It matches the Rfam family "Bacterial small subunit ribosomal RNA", at positions 354 to 796 of the family's 1533-position model. The record is from RNAcentral.
GUGGGGAAUAUUGCACAAUGGGGGAAACCCUGAUGCAGCAACGCCGCGUGAAGGAUGAAGGUUUUCGGAUUGUAAACUUCUUUAGUCAGGGACGAAUAAAUGACGGUACCUGAAGAAUAAGCCACGGCUAACUACGUGCCAGCAGCCGCGGUAAUACGUAGGUGGCAAGCGUUGUCCGGAAUUACUGGGUGUAAAGGGCGUGUAGGCGGGAAUGUAAGUCAGAUGUGAAAUCCCAGGGCUUAACUCUGGAGCUGCAUCUGAAACUAUGUUUCUUGAGUGUCGGAGAGGAAAGCGGAAUUCCUAGUGUAGCGGUGAAAUGCGUAGAUAUUAGGAGGAACACCAGUGGCGAAGGCGGCUUUCUGGACGAUAACUGACGCUGAGGCGCGAAAGCGUGGGGAGCAAACAGGAUUAGAUACCCCAGUAGUCC